UGCUAACGUCCGUCGUGGAGAGGGAAACAACCCAGACCGCCAGCUAAGGUCCCAAAUUACUACUAAGUGGGAAACGAUGUGGGAAGGCUCAGACAGCCAGGAUGUUGGCUUAGAAGCAGCCAUCAUUUAAAGAAAGCGUAAUAGCUCACUGGUCGAGUCGGCCUGCGCGGAAGAUGUAACGGGGCUAAGUAGUAAACCGAAGCUGCGGCAAUGUGCUUUUGCACAUUGGGUAGGGGAGCGUUCUGUAAGCGGUUGAAGGUGUGUGGUAACGCAUGCUGGACGUAUCAGAAGUGCGAAUGCUGACAUGAGUAACGAUAAAGGGGGUGAAAAACCUCCUCGCCGGAAGACCAAGGGUUCCUGUCCAACGUUAAUCGGGGCAGGGUAAGUCGACCCCUAAGGCGAGGCCGAAAGGCGUAGUCGAUGGGAAACGGGUUAAUAUUCCCGUACUUCUUACAAUUGCGAUGGGGGGACGGAGAAGGCUAGGUGGGCCUGGCGACGGUUGUCCAGGUUCAAGUGCGUAGGCUUGAGAGUUAGGUAAAUCCGGCUCUUUUUAAGGCUGAGACACGACGUCGAGCACCUACGGGUGUGAAGUCAUUGAUGCCAUGCUUCCAGGAAAAGCCUCUAAGCUUCAGAUUGUAAGGAAUCGUACCCCAAACCGACACAGGUGGUCGGGUAGAGAAUACCAAGGCGCUUGAGAGAACUCGGGUGAAG
RNAcentral lists this ribosomal RNA (711 nucleotides) under Vibrio parahaemolyticus. RNAcentral's name for it is "partial 23S ribosomal RNA". It matches the Rfam family "Bacterial large subunit ribosomal RNA", at positions 996 to 1709 of the family's 2925-position model. The record is from RNAcentral. Lineage: Bacteria; Pseudomonadati; Pseudomonadota; Gammaproteobacteria; Vibrionales; Vibrionaceae.